GAUGAACGCUGGCGGCGUGCCUAAUACAUGCAAGUCGAGCGAACGGACGAGAAGCUUGCUUCUCUGAUGUUAGCGGCGGACGGGUGAGUAACACGUGGAUAACCUACCUAUAAGACUGGGAUAACUUCGGGAAACCGGAGCUAAUACCGGAUGAUAUUUUGAACCGCAUGGUUCAAAAGUGAAAGACGGUGUUGCUGUCACUUAUAGAUGGAUCCGCGCUGCAUUAGCUAGUUGGUAAGGUAACGGCUUACCAAGGCAACGAUGCAUAGCCGACCUGAGAGGGUGAUCGGCCACACUGGAACUGAGACACGGUCCAGACUCCUACGGGACGCAGCAGUAGGGAAUCUUCCGCAAUGGGCGAAAGCCUGACGGAGCAACGCCGCGUGAGUGAUGAAGGUCUUCGGAUCGUAAAACUCUGUUAUUAGGGAAGAACAUAUGUGUAAGUAACUGUGCACAUCUUGACGGUACCUAAUCAGAAAGCCACGGCUAACUACGUG
RNAcentral lists this ribosomal RNA (497 nucleotides) under uncultured bacterium. Its description in RNAcentral is "partial 16S ribosomal RNA". It matches the Rfam family "Bacterial small subunit ribosomal RNA", at positions 28 to 507 of the family's 1533-position model. The record is from RNAcentral.